UACCAGCACCCCGAGUGGUCGGGACGUUUAUUGGGCCUAAAGCAUCCGUAGCCGGUUCUACAAGUCUUCCGUUAAAUCCAACUGCUUAACAGGUGGGCUGCGGAAGAUACUAUAGAGCUAGGAGGCGGGAGAGGCAAGCGGUACUCGAUGGGUAGGGGUAAAAUCCGUUGAUCCAUUGAAGACCACCAGUGGCGAAGGCGGCUGGCGAGAACGCGCUCGACGGUGAGGGAUGAAAGCGGGGGGAGCAAACCGG
Molecule: ribosomal RNA, 253 nt
Filed under: uncultured bacterium
Lineage: Bacteria
Description: partial 16S ribosomal RNA
Rfam family: Archaeal small subunit ribosomal RNA
Source: RNAcentral